GACGAACGCUGGCGGCGUGCUUAACACAUGCAAGUCGAGCGGAAAGGCCCUUCGGGGUACUCGAGCGGCGAACGGAUGAGUAACACGUGAGUAACCUGCCCUAGGCUUUGGGAUAACCCCGGGAAACCGGGGCUAAUACCGGAUAUGACCUGGUGCCGCAUGGUGUUGGGUGGAAAGUUUUUUCGGCCUGGGAUGGGCUCGCGGCCUAUCAGCUUGUUGGUGGGGUGAUGGCCUACCAAGGCGAUGACGGGUAGCCGGCCUGAGAGGGCGACCGGCCACACUGGGACUGAGACACGGCCCAGACUCCUACGGGAGGCAGCAGUGGGGAAUAUUGCACAAUGGGCGGAAGCCUGAUGCAGCGACGCCGUGUGAGGGAUGAAGGCCUUCGGGUUGUAAACCUCUUUCAGCAGGGACGAAGCGUGAGUGACGGUACCUGCAGAAGAAGCGCCGGCCAACUACGUG
Molecule: ribosomal RNA, 462 nt
Filed under: uncultured bacterium
Lineage: Bacteria
Description: partial 16S ribosomal RNA
Rfam family: Bacterial small subunit ribosomal RNA
Source: RNAcentral